CGGGUGAGUAACGCGUGAGUAACCUGCCCUGGAGUGGGGGACAACAGUUGGAAACGACUGCUAAUACCGCAUAAGCCCACGGAUCCGCAUGGAUCUGCGGGAAAAGGAUUUAUUCGCUUCAGGAUGGACUCGCGUCCAAUUAGCUAGUUGGUGAGGUAACGGCCCACCAAGGCGACGAUUGGUAGCCGGACUGAGAGGUUGAACGGCCACAUUGGGACUGAGACACGGCCCAG
This 233-nucleotide ribosomal RNA is filed under the name uncultured bacterium. RNAcentral's name for it is "partial 16S ribosomal RNA". It matches the Rfam family "Bacterial small subunit ribosomal RNA", at positions 103 to 334 of the family's 1533-position model. The record is from RNAcentral.